GUGACUAUACUUUUAGGGAUCAUUUCUAUAGUCUCUGAACUGAGAAAUGUUUUUCUGAACUUGUUCGGUCUCGCCAGCCACGAGGAGGAGAUGGAACGAUUCCUUCUGAGCGUGAAGCGGGCUGUGAGUGUUGCCGUUUGUGCAAGAGCUCACAGCCAUUGAUGUUCGUUCCUCCUCCUUUUCUGGGGAGGUGGAGGGAGUUGUGGAGUCCUGUAGC
Molecule: small nucleolar RNA, 217 nt
Filed under: Callorhinchus milii (elephant shark)
Lineage: Eukaryota; Metazoa; Chordata; Chondrichthyes; Chimaeriformes; Callorhinchidae
Description: Small nucleolar RNA U3 (ENSCMIG00000013568.1)
Rfam family: Small nucleolar RNA U3
About the family: Small nucleolar RNAs (snoRNAs) are involved in the processing and modification of rRNA in the nucleolus.
Source: RNAcentral